GAUGAACGCUGGCGGCGUGCCUAAUACAUGCAAGUCGAGCGAACGGACGAGAAGCUUGCUUCUCUGAUGUUAGCGGCGGACGGGUGAGUAACACGUGGAUAACCUACCUAUAAGACUGGGAUAACUUCGGGAAACCGGAGCUAAUACCGGAUAAUAUUUUGAACCGCAUGGUUCAAAAGUGAAAGACGGUCUUGCUGUCACUUAUAGAUGGAUCCGCGCUGCAUUAGCUAGUUGGUAAGGUAACGGCAUACCAAGGCAACGAUACAUAGCCGACCUGAGAGGGUGAUCGGCCACACUGGAACUGAGACACGGUCCAGACUCCUACGGGAGGCAGCAGUAGGGAAUCUUCCGCAAUGGGCGAAAGCCUGACGGAGCAACGCCGCGUGAGUGAUGAAGGUCUUCGGAUCGUAAAACUCUGUUAUUAGGGAAGAACAUAUGUGUAAGUAACUGUGCACAUCUUGACGGUACCUAAUCAGAAAGCCACGGCUAACUACGU
Molecule: ribosomal RNA, 496 nt
Filed under: uncultured bacterium
Lineage: Bacteria
Description: partial 16S ribosomal RNA
Rfam family: Bacterial small subunit ribosomal RNA
Source: RNAcentral